Molecule: ribosomal RNA, 253 nt
Filed under: uncultured bacterium
Lineage: Bacteria
Description: partial 16S ribosomal RNA
Rfam family: Bacterial small subunit ribosomal RNA
Source: RNAcentral
UACGUAGGGACCAAGCGUUGUUCGGAUUUACUGGGCGUAAAGGGCGCGUAGGCGGCCUGUCAAGUCAACUGUGAAAUCUCCGGGCUUAACUCGGAACGGUCAGUUGAUACUGUCAGGCUAGAGUGCAGAAGGGGCAAUCGGAAUUCUUGGUGUAGCGGUGAAAUGCGUAGAUAUCAAGAGGAACACCUGAGGUGAAGACGGGUUGCUGGGCUGACACUGACGCUGAGGCGCGAAAGCCAGGGGAGCAAACGGG